GACAGAGGGUGCAAACGUUGUUCGGAAUUACUGGGCGUAAAGCGCGUGUAGGCGGUCGGGCAAGUCGGAUGUGAAAGCCCCGGGCUCAACCUGGGAAUUGCAUUCGAAACUGCAUGGCUAGGGUGCGGAAGAGGGAAGCGGAAUUUCUGGUGUUGCGGUGAAAUGCGUAGAUAUCAGAAGGAACAUCAGUGGCGAAAGCGGCUUCCUGGUCCAGCACCGACGUUCAGGCACGAAAGCGUGGGGAGCAAACAGG
RNAcentral lists this ribosomal RNA (253 nucleotides) under uncultured prokaryote. RNAcentral describes it as "partial 16S ribosomal RNA". It matches the Rfam family "Bacterial small subunit ribosomal RNA", at positions 524 to 776 of the family's 1533-position model. The record is from RNAcentral.